UUUUAUGGAGAGUUUGAUCCUGGCUCAGAGUGAACGCUGGCGGCGUGCCUAAUACAUGCAAGUCGAACGAUGAAGCUUCUAGCUUGCUAGAAGUGGAUUAGUGGCGCACGGGUGAGUAACGCAUAGGUCAUGUGCCUCUUAGUUUGGGAUAGCCAUUGGAAACGAUGAUUAAUACCAGAUACUCCCUACGGGGGAAAGAUUUAUCGCUAAGAGAUCAGCCUAUGUCCUAUCAGCUUGUUGGUAAGGUAAUGGCUUACCAAGGCUAUGACGGGUAUCCGGCCUGAGAGGGUGAACGGACACACUGGAACUGAGACACGGUCCAGACUCCUACGGGAGGCAGCAGUAGGGAAUAUUGCUCAAUGGGGGAAACCCUGAAGCAGCAACGCCGCGUGGAGGAUGAAGGUUUUAGGAUUGUAAACUCCUUUUGUUAGAGAAGAUAAUGACGGUAUCUAACGAAUAAGCACCGGCUAACUCCGUGCCAGCAGCCGCGGUAAUACGGAGGGUGCAAGCGUUACUCGGAAUCACUGGGCGUAAAGAGCGCGUAGGCGGGAUAGUCAGUCAGGUGUGAAAUCCUAUGGCUUAACCAUAGAACUGCAUUUGAAACUACUAUUCUAGAGUGUGGGAGAGGUAGGUGGAAUUCUUGGUGUAGGGGUAAAAUCCGUAGAGAUCAAGAGGAAUACUCAUUGCGAAGGCGACCUGCUGGAACAUUACUGACGCUGAUUGCGCGAAAGCGUGGGGAGCAAACAGGAUUAGAUACCCUGGUAGUCCACGCCCUAAACGAUGGAUGCUAGUUGUUGGAGGGCUUAGUCUCUCCAGUAAUGCAGCUAACGCAUUAAGCAUCCCGCCUGGGGAGUACGGUCGCAAGAUUAAAACUCAAAGGAAUAGACGGGGACCCGCACAAGCGGUGGAGCAUGUGGUUUAAUUCGAAGAUACACGAAGAACCUUACCUAGGCUUGACAUUGAGAGAAUCCGCUAGAAAUAGUGGAGUGUCUAGCUUGCUAGACCUUGAAAACAGGUGCUGCACGGCUGUCGUCAGCUCGUGUCGUGAGAUGUUGGGUUAAGUCCCGCAACGAGCGCAACCCCCUUUCUUAGUUGCUAACAGGUCAUGCUGAGAACUCUAAGGAUACUGCCUCCGUAAGGAGGAGGAAGGUGGGGACGACGUCAAGUCAUCAUGGCCCUUACGCCUAGGGCUACACACGUGCUACAAUGGGGUGCACAAAGAGAAGCAAUACUGCGAAGUGGAGCCAAUCUUCAAAACGCCUCUCAGUUCGGAUUGUAGGCUGCAACUCGCCUGCAUGAAGCUGGAAUCGCUAGUAAUCGCAAAUCAGCCAUGUUGCGGUGAAUACGUUCCCGGGUCUUGUACUCACCGCCCGUCACACCAUGGGAGUUGUGUUUGCCUUAAGUCAGGAUGCUAAAUUGGCUACUGCCCACGGCACACACAGCGACUGGGGUGAAGUCGUAACAAGGUAACCGUAGGUGAACCUGCGGUUGGAUCACCUCCUUUCUAGA
This 1509-nucleotide ribosomal RNA is filed under the name Helicobacter pylori. Its description in RNAcentral is "bacterial SSU rRNA". It matches the Rfam family "Bacterial small subunit ribosomal RNA". The record is from RNAcentral. Lineage: Bacteria; Pseudomonadati; Campylobacterota; Epsilonproteobacteria; Campylobacterales; Helicobacteraceae.